Molecule: ribosomal RNA, 253 nt
Filed under: uncultured bacterium
Lineage: Bacteria
Description: partial 16S ribosomal RNA
Rfam family: Bacterial small subunit ribosomal RNA
Source: RNAcentral
GACAGAGGCUGCAAACGUUGUUCGGAAUCACUGGGCAUAAAGCGCACGUAGGCGGUCUGUUAAGUCAGGUGUGAAAGCCCUCGGCUCAACCGGGGAACAGCAUUUGAUACUGGCAGACUCGAGGAUGGUAGGGGUGAGUGGAACUCCAGGUGGAGCGGUGAAAUGCGUAGAUAUCUGGAGGAACACCGGUGGCGAAAGCGGCUCACUGGACCAUAACUGACGCUGAGGUGCGAAAGCUAGGGUAGCAAACGGG